Molecule: long non-coding RNA, 332 nt
Organism: Drosophila elegans
Lineage: Eukaryota; Metazoa; Arthropoda; Insecta; Diptera; Drosophilidae
Exons: 3
Source: RefSeq, a predicted model, not a curated record
UUAGUGUGCAGUUAAACUUUUGAAGAGUUGUAUUUAACACGUGACGUAAAGAUUUGUCUAAAAAUAGAAAAAUGUUUUGCGGAAAGUUUUAGUCUACAAUAUAGAUUAAGAAAAAGAAUAUUCCGAUUUUUCAAGGAUGACUGUGUUUUACUGGCUCUAACUCUUAGAAGAAGAAACCACUAAGACGUACUAUAGCAGUGUUGGGAAAAGUGCUACUUUUUUUGGAUUUAGCUAAAGUACAAGGAAUUUUCGAAAAUCAUAAUCUUAAUCCGAACUUUAUGCUGUUAUUAGUAAACUACUCGGGAUGAACUGUUUCUAAAGAUUAUAUAGGA